RNAcentral lists this ribosomal RNA (427 nucleotides) under uncultured Enterococcus sp. RNAcentral describes it as "bacterial SSU rRNA". It matches the Rfam family "Bacterial small subunit ribosomal RNA", at positions 354 to 771 of the family's 1533-position model. Lineage: Bacteria; Bacillati; Bacillota; Bacilli; Lactobacillales; Enterococcaceae. The record is from RNAcentral.
GUAGGGAAUCUUCGGCAAUGGACGAAAGUCUGACCGAGCAACGCCGCGUGAGUGAAGAAGGUUUUCGGAUCGUAAAACUCUGUUGUUAGAGAAGAACAAGGAUGAGAGUAAAAUGUUCAUCCCUUGACGGUAUCUAACCAGAAAGCCACGGCUAACUACGUGCCAGCAGCCGCGGUAAUACGUAGGUGGCAAGCGUUGUCCGGAUUUAUUGGGCGUAAAGCGAGCGCAGGCGGUUCUUUAAGUCUGAUGUGAAAGCCCCCGGCUCAACCGGGGAGGGUCAUUGGAAACUGGGAGAACUUGAGUGCAGAAGAGGAGAGUGGAAUUCCAUGUGUAGCGGUGAAAUGCGUAGAUAUAUGGAGGAACACCAGUGGCGAAGGCGGCUCUCUGGUCUGUAACUGACGCUGAGGCUCGAAAGCGUGGGGAGCAA